UAAUCUUUUAAAAAAACUAAUAGAAAAUGCUAAAAAUCAGAUUCAAUUUAAUCCAUUUUCCCAUCAAAUACAGAGAGAAGCUUCCAUAACUGAAAAGAGUGAAGCGAACGACACAAGAAUCACUACGAAACGUUUCUCGCCAUGCCUAUUAGAAGCUUUUUAGAGGUGGAACCUCCAAGUCCACUCAGAUACCUUAUCGGAGCCGCCGUAAUGAUGAUCGGAGUUGUUUUACCCGUCGGUUACAUGAUGUUUCGGAAUAAGCGCGUUCCUUCUUCUUCUUCCUACACCAAACAGACGUAGGAACAAGGUUUUGAUAUAGGGAGAUGAUGGUGGUAGUGGUGAUGAUAGUGAUGAGGUGAGAAGACUUCGAUUUACUAGAUUUGGGUUUGUCAUUUGGCUAUGUUUGGGGGAAAUGCUUGAUUAGGUUAGAGGCUUUGAUAGAUCCAUGAUUUGAUCAAUUGUUGUAAAUGCACUGACAUUCCAAAUCUUCUUAGUGGUUGUUCACCCGAUUCUGAACUCUGUAUACAUACUUGCCAUUGUCUUUCCAUAUUUUUACUUACGGAGUUCAAUGUUCUGCACUGUACUCCUUUUACUGGUAUAGGAAUCUUUAACAAACACAUGAUAUUUAUUUAUUUUUCAUUUUACUUA
Molecule: RNA transcript, 648 nt
Organism: Medicago truncatula (barrel medic)
Lineage: Eukaryota; Viridiplantae; Streptophyta; Magnoliopsida; Fabales; Fabaceae
Exons: 3
Source: RefSeq, a predicted model, not a curated record